UCUUACGCGUUAGCGAUUGAAACGGCAUCCUUUUUUGCUAUUAAAAGCAAAAAAGAUAUAGUGUAAAGCGCGACCCCUG
RNAcentral lists this small RNA (79 nucleotides) under Meridianimaribacter flavus. Its description in RNAcentral is "Flavo-1 RNA". It matches the Rfam family "Flavo-1 RNA". Lineage: Bacteria; Pseudomonadati; Bacteroidota; Flavobacteriia; Flavobacteriales; Flavobacteriaceae. The record is from RNAcentral.